Molecule: unclassified non-coding RNA, 286 nt
Filed under: root metagenome
Description: partial contains small subunit ribosomal RNA, internal transcribed spacer 1, and 5.8S ribosomal RNA
Source: RNAcentral
UUUCCGUAGGUGAACCUGCGGAAGGAUCAUUAUCGUAUAACUGAGGUGUUAGGUGGCUGUUGCUGACUUUUGAAAAAGGGUCGUGCACGCCCCUGCGCUCUCGUCUAUCCAUCUCACCCCUUUUGUGCAUCACCGCGUGAGGCCCCCCCUCUUUUUGAAAAAUAAAAAGGGAGGGUUCACGUUUUUAUUUUACACAAACACCUUUUUAAUGCAUGUCUAGAAUGUCUUUACUAUUUGCGCUCAUACGCAAUUAAUACAACUUUCAACAACGGAUCUCUUGGCUCUC